AGUGAACGCUGGCGGUAGGCCUAACACAUGCAAGUCGAACGGCAGCACAGUAAGAGCUUGCUCUUACGGGUGGCGAGUGGCGGGCGGGUGAGGAAUACAUCGGAAUCUACUUUUUCGUGGGGGAUAACGUAGGGAAACUUACGCUAAUACCGCAUACGACCUACGGGUGAAAGCAGGGGAUCUUCGGACCUUGCGCGAUUGAAUGAGCCGAUGUCGGAUUAGCUAGUUGGCGAGGUAAAGGCCCACCAAGGCGACGAUCCGUAGCUGGUCUGAGAGGAUGAUCAGCCACACUGGAACUGAGACACGGUCCAGACUCCUACGGGAGGCAGCAGUGGGGAAUAUUGGACAAUGGGCGCAAGCCUGAUCCAGCCAUACCGCGUGGGUGAAGAAGGCCUUCGGGUUGUAAAGCCCUUUUGUUGGGAAAGAAAAGCAGCAGGUUAAUACCCCGCUGUUCUGACGGUACCCAAAGAAUAAGCACCGGCUAACUUCGUG
This 492-nucleotide ribosomal RNA is filed under the name uncultured bacterium. RNAcentral describes it as "partial 16S ribosomal RNA". It matches the Rfam family "Bacterial small subunit ribosomal RNA", at positions 29 to 507 of the family's 1533-position model. The record is from RNAcentral.